CGCUUCUUGCAAACUAUGAAUAAGAAGUCCUGCCUGCCCUGUGACUAUAUGUUUAACGGCUGCGGUAUCCUGACCGUACGAAGGUAGCGCAAUCACUUGUCUUUUAAAUAGAGACCUGUAUGAAUGGCAAAACGAGGGCUCAACUGUCUCCUUUCUCAAGUCAAUGAAAUUGAUCUCCCCGUGCAGAAGCGGGGAUAAACCCAUAAGACGAGAAGACCCUAUGGAGCUUUAGAUGCAAGGACAGAUCACGUUAAGCACCUCUUAACAAAGAACCAAACCGAACGAACCCUGUCCCAGUAUCUUUGGUUGGGGCGACCGCGAGGAAAAACAAAACCCCCGCAUGGACUGAGGACACACCAUUCUCCCCUCUCCUCACAGCUAAGAGUUUCCACUCUAAGAACCAGAACUUCUGACCUACAAAGAUCCGGCAAUGCCGAUCAACGGACCCAGUUACCCUAGGGAUAACAGCGCAAUCCCCUUUUAGAGCCCAUAUCGACAAGGGGGUUUACGACCUCGAUGUUGGAUCAGGACAUCCUAAUGGUGCAGCCGCUAUUAAGGGUUCGUUUGUUCAACGAU
This 576-nucleotide ribosomal RNA is filed under the name Selenotoca multifasciata. RNAcentral describes it as "partial 16S ribosomal RNA". It matches the Rfam family "Bacterial large subunit ribosomal RNA", at positions 1816 to 2588 of the family's 2925-position model. The record is from RNAcentral. Lineage: Eukaryota; Metazoa; Chordata; Actinopteri; Scatophagidae.